Molecule: ribosomal RNA, 1320 nt
Filed under: Thraustochytriidae sp. Fng1
Lineage: Eukaryota; Bigyra; Thraustochytrida; Thraustochytriidae
Description: partial 16S ribosomal RNA
Rfam family: Bacterial small subunit ribosomal RNA
Source: RNAcentral
GAGUUAUUUCCUUCUUUAAGGAACUAGCGUACGAGUUGAGUAAUAUUUGUCUUAUCUACCCCUUUAUUUUUUAUUAAAAGGAUGAGGUCAAACAAGAUUAGAUAGUUGAUAAAUUAAUCCUUUGUCAAGUCUAUGAUCUUUAGCAGGUUUGAAAAAACGAUCUGCCACGGUGGGAUUGAGAUAUGGCCCAAGCUUUUUUUAAAAGACAGCAGUGCGGAAUUUUGGACAAUGGGCGCAAGCUUGAUCCAGUGAUGCAUAAUGAUGAAAUGACAGCGUUUUGUUGUAAAGUUAAUUAAUUAAAAAAAUAUGAUUUUUUAAAGAAUUAGUUCCGGCAAAUUACGUGCCAGCAGCCGCGGUAAUACGUAAGGAGCUAGCGUUAUUUUGUUUUAUUAGGCGUAAAGAGUUCGUAGGUGGGUUUUUAAACUUUGCUAAAAGUUAAAGCGAAAUUUUUUUUUGUAAAGCAUACUGAAAACCUUUGAGUUUUUAUCGAGAAAGUAGAAUUUUUAGGGUACGGAUAAAAUCGGUUGAUCCUAGAAGGAAUGCCAAAAGCGAAGGCAGCUUUCUAGAUAAUUACUGACACUGAGAAACGAAAGCGUAGGUAGCAAACGAGAUUAGAUACCUCGGUAGUCUAGUGCUGUAAACUAUGUAUAGUAAAAAGUAUUUUCUUUCUUUGGAAAAAAGUACUUUUUAAGUUAACAUUAAACUAUACCGCCUGGAGAUUACGAUCGCAAGAUUAAAAUUCAAAGGAAUUGACGGAAGCCAAAACUAGCAGUGGAACAUGCGGCUUAAUUCGAUAUUACGCGAGGAACCUUACCAGAAAUAGACAGUUUAUUCUUUUAAUAACAGGUGUUGCAUGGUUGUCGUCAGUUCGUGCUUUGAAGUGUUUGGUUCAGUCCUUAAACGAACGCAACUUUCUUUUUUUAUGAAUUUACAGGUAAAAUAGUAAGUUCAGAUCAAAAUAUUUUAGGAUAACUAAAAUGAAAGAGAAUGACGCCAAAUCCUCAUGACCCUUAUUUUCUGGGCUGCACGCGUGUUACAAUGGCAACUACAAAAAGAAGCAAUAAAGUAAUUUGGAGCGAGCUUUAAAAGUUGCCUUAGUUCGGAUCAAAGGUUGCAACUCACCUUUGUGAAGUUGGAAUUGCUAGUAAUCUGUAAAUUAGAAUGUUACGGUGAAACUGUUCCUUGGCUUUGUACAUACUGCCCGUCACGUUGAGAUAGUUGUCUUUUUUUGAAAGAUUUGUGUUUGUUAAAAAAUCUCAUAGAAAAGAGGAUGAUUUUAACGAAGUCGUAACAAGCUAACCGUAAGCUUCACAAUCGAAU